Molecule: unclassified non-coding RNA, 282 nt
Filed under: uncultured fungus
Lineage: Eukaryota; Fungi
Description: sequence contains ITS1, 5.8S rRNA gene
Rfam family: 5.8S ribosomal RNA (bases 234-282)
Source: RNAcentral
UUUCCGUAGGUGAACCUGCGGAAGGAUCAUUACCGAAUUGUCGACACGAGUUGUUGCUGGCCCCUCAAAAGGGGGCAUGUGCACGCUCUGUUUGCAUCCACUCACACCUGUGCACCUUCUGUAGUUCUGUGGGCUGGGAGGCACCUGUCUUCCCUUCCGUGGUUCUACGUCUUUACACACACACUGUAACAUAGUCUUAUGGAAUGCACGCAGCGUUUAACGCAAUACAAUACAACUUUCAGCAACGGAUCUCUUGGCUCUCGCAUCGAUGAAGAACGCAGC